UUUGCAUAUCAAAAAGCGGAGGAAAAGAAACCAACAGGGAUUGCCUCAGUAACGGCGAGUGAAGCGGCAACAGCUCAAAUUUGAAAUCUGGCCCUUUCAGGGUCCGAGUUGUAAUUUGUAGAGGAUGCUUCGGCGAGAGCUCCCGUCUAAGUUCCCUGGAACGGGACGUCAUAGAGGGUGAGAAUCCCGUAUGUGAUGGGUUGCUCGAGCCAUGUGAAGCUCCUUCGACGAGUCGAGUUGUUUGGGAAUGCAGCUCUAAAUGGGAGGUAAAUUUCUUCUAAAGCUAAAUACCGGCCAGAGACCGAUAGCGCACAAGUAGAGUGAUCGAAAGAUGAAAAGCACUUUGGAAAGAGAGUUAAAAAGUACGUGAAAUUGUUGAAAGGGAAGCGCUUGCAACCAGACUUGUCCGCAGUUGUUCAGCCGGUCUCCUGACCGGCGUACUCUUCUGCGGCCAGGCCAGCAUCAGUUCGGGCGGUUGGAUAAAGGCCUCGGGAAUGUGGCUCUCUUCGGGGAGUGUUAUAGCCCGGGGCGGAAUGCAGCCAGCCUGGACUGAGGAUCUCGCUUCGGCAAGGAUGCUGGCGUAAUGGUUGUAAGCGGCCCGUCUUGAAACACGGACCCAA
Molecule: ribosomal RNA, 620 nt
Filed under: Aplosporella javeedii
Lineage: Eukaryota; Fungi; Ascomycota; Dothideomycetes; Botryosphaeriales; Aplosporellaceae
Description: eukaryotic LSU rRNA
Rfam family: Eukaryotic large subunit ribosomal RNA
Source: RNAcentral